RNAcentral lists this ribosomal RNA (496 nucleotides) under uncultured bacterium. RNAcentral describes it as "partial 16S ribosomal RNA". It matches the Rfam family "Bacterial small subunit ribosomal RNA", at positions 29 to 507 of the family's 1533-position model. The record is from RNAcentral.
AUGCACGCUGGCGGCGUGCCUAAUACAUGCAAGUCGAGCGAACAGACGAGGAGCUUGCUCCUCUGACGUUAGCGGCGGACGGGUGAGUAACGCGUGGAUAACCUACCUAUAAGACUGGGAUAACUUCGGGAAACCGGAGCUAAUACCGGAUAAUAUAUUGAACCGCAUGGUUCAAUAGUGAAAGACGGUUUUGCUGUCACUUAUAGAUGGAUCCGCGCCGCAUUAGCUAGUUGGUAAGGUAACGGCUUACCAAGGCAACGAUGCGUAGCCGACCUGAGAGGGUGAUCGGCCACACUGGAACUGAGACACGGUCCAGACUCCUACGGGAGGCAGCAGUAGGGAAUCUUCCGCAAUGGGCGAAAGCCUGACGGAGCAACGCCGCGUGAGUGAUGAAGGUCUUCGGAUCGUAAAACUCUGUUAUUAGGGAAGAACAAAUGUGUAAGUAACUAUGCACGUCUUGACGGUACCUAAUCAGAAAGCCACGGCUAACUACGUG